UACGUAGGGGGCGAGCGUUGUCCGGAAUCAUUGGGCGUAAAGCGCGUGUAGGCGGCUUGAUAAGUCCGGUGUGAAAUCUUGGGGCUCAACCCCAAGCCUGCAUCGGAUACUGUCUCGCUCGAGUUCGGGAGGGGAGAGCGGAAUUCCUAGUGUAGCGGUGAAAUGCGCAGAUAUUAGGAAGAACACCGGUGGCGAAGGCGGCUCUCUGGAACGAUACUGACGCUGAGACGCGAAAGCGUGGGGAGCGAAC
This 250-nucleotide ribosomal RNA is filed under the name uncultured bacterium. RNAcentral describes it as "partial 16S ribosomal RNA". It matches the Rfam family "Bacterial small subunit ribosomal RNA", at positions 524 to 773 of the family's 1533-position model. The record is from RNAcentral.